This 253-nucleotide ribosomal RNA is filed under the name uncultured bacterium. Its description in RNAcentral is "partial 16S ribosomal RNA". It matches the Rfam family "Bacterial small subunit ribosomal RNA", at positions 524 to 776 of the family's 1533-position model. The record is from RNAcentral.
UACGUAGGGGGCAAGCGUUGUCCGGAAUCAUUGGGCGUAAAGCGCGUGUAGGCGGCUCGAUAAGUCUGCUGUGAAAGUCCAGGGCUCAACCCUGGGAUGCCGGUGGAUACUGUCGGGCUCGAGUCCGGAAGAGGCGAGUGGAAUUCCUGGUGUAGCGGUGAAAUGCGCAGAUAUCAGGAGGAACACCAAUGGCGAAGGCAGCUCGCUGGGACGUGACUGACGCUGGGACGCGAAAGCGUGGGGAGCAAACAGG